AAAGAUUAAGCCAUGCACGUCUAAGUAUAAGCACUCAUACUGUGAAACUGCGAAUGGCUCAUUAAAUCAGUUAUCGUUUAUUUGAUAGUACCUUACUACUUGGAUACCCGUGGUAAUUCUAGAGCUAAUACAUGCUAAAAACCCCGACUUCGGAAGGGGUGUGUUUAUUAGAUAAAAAACCAAUGCCCUUCGGGGCUGCUUGAUGAUUCAUGAUAACCAAACGAAUCGCAUGGCCUUGAGCCGGCGAUGGUUCAUUCAAAUUUCUGCCCUAUCAACUUUCGAUGGUAGGAUCUGGGCCUACCAUGGUAUCAACGGGUAACGGGGAAU
Molecule: ribosomal RNA, 327 nt
Filed under: uncultured fungus
Lineage: Eukaryota; Fungi
Description: SSU rRNA
Rfam family: Eukaryotic small subunit ribosomal RNA
Source: RNAcentral